This 910-nucleotide long non-coding RNA is filed under the name Equus asinus (donkey). RNAcentral describes it as "lncRNA (ENSEASG00005030457.1)". The record is from RNAcentral. Lineage: Eukaryota; Metazoa; Chordata; Mammalia; Perissodactyla; Equidae.
CCAUCCUUUGUCUCCCCUGAAUGGGAAUUUCUGCAAAGUUGUCCAAGCACGUCUAAGCUCACCUGAGAUGCCUCUCUAAUUCCCCAGCAGAGUCUACUCUGACCUGGAAGGCUCCCCGAUUCCCCAACUCGUCCACCUCUGCGAUGCCUCCCUAGUUCCCGAGGCGUGUCUACACCGACCUGGGAUGUCUCCCUAAUUCUCUAAGUGUGUCUCCACUGACUUGAUAUGUCUCCCCAUUUCCCAGGAACUUCUGUGCAGAAUGGGGACAAAUCCCUAGAACCCCAGGUAUGUCAGUCAUGAGCUGGGAUGUCUGCCUAAUUCCUCAGUUGUGUCUACACUGACCUGGGAUAUCUUCCAAAUCCCCCAGCUGUGUCUAUACUGACCUGCAAUGUCUCCCUAAUUCCCCAGCUUUGGGGACAAGGAUGGGAUCCAAAGGAGAUUGCUGAUGACUUUGGGGACAACAAGAUAUGCAGGUGUUAGUAUCUGCUGAACCAUUUGACUUCUCUGUCUUUCUCGCCAUUUCCGAGGACCAUGGGUGCCUUAGAGAAAAAGGGUCUCGGCCAAGAACUCACUGUAAAGGGUGGAGGGAGAAUUUUUUCCUCCUCUACAGUUCCCAGUGACCCAGAUGGGACCUGCUGGGAUACCCACCCCACUUGCUCUGGAGCCUGCAGACAGGAUCCAGGGAAAACUGGCAGAAGUUGGCAAAGGGUAUACCUUCGGUUUAAAAGAAGAAGAGAAGGGAGUUCAGUAUCGCCAGGGAUAUUUAUUGUUUGUCCCAGCGAAAACCUGUUAAGAAGAUAUUUGAAAGGAUUUUUUCAAAAUGAGCUCUAUGGUCAAAAGUUGGCCAAAUUGGAAGCUGAUAUAAGAGCCUGAUAGGGGAGAAAGUCUAAAAAAAUUCCUAAACUAAAAU